Molecule: non-coding RNA, 654 nt
Organism: Vicugna pacos (alpaca)
Lineage: Eukaryota; Metazoa; Chordata; Mammalia; Artiodactyla; Camelidae
Source: RefSeq, a predicted model, not a curated record
UCGGGCCGCGGGGCCUUCUGGGAGGUGCUGUGUAGCGGAACGUCCGUAGGGAGGCGGGCGUGGGGGGAUAGUUCGGCGUUACCGGCACCUGGCCGGGCCUUCCUGCGGGUCGCCUUCGCCCGGCCUCUCAGAAACUGCGCACUAGAUGCGCAUUCGGGCGUUUCCGGCAGGUGACGCUGCCGCGUCCCCGGAGCGGGCCUUGAAGGAGGGGCUCAAGCAGUCUGGGCUGCACCAGCGCGCGCGGCUGACGGGGCGGAGCCUUAGAGGAGGCCCAGAGUGUCUGGAGUAGCGGCUGUGCGGCGUGCGCGGGCUUGGCAUUAUCUGGACUGUGCCCUUUUUGAGGAAGAAGAGGAUAUGACUAGUUCUCUGGAAGAGGAUAUGACCAGUUCUCUUGAAACAGUAACAUUUAAGGAUGUGGCUGUGGACCUCACCCAGGAGGAAUGGCAGCAAAUGAAACCUGCUCAGAGAGACUUGUACCGUGAUGUGAUGCUGGAGAACUAUAGCAACCUAGUCACAGUGGGCUAUCAAGUCACCAAACCAGAUGUGAUCUUCAAGUUGGAGCAGGAAGAGGAGCCAUGGGUGGUAGAAGAGGAAAUAUUUGGAAGACACUAUCCAGGUAAGUAAGUGAAAAGGCAGGUCUGAAUAGAAAGCCAC